RNAcentral lists this ribosomal RNA (707 nucleotides) under uncultured bacterium. RNAcentral describes it as "bacterial SSU rRNA". It matches the Rfam family "Bacterial small subunit ribosomal RNA", at positions 778 to 1482 of the family's 1533-position model. The record is from RNAcentral.
UUAGAUACCCUUGUAGUCCACGCCGUAAACGAUGAAUACUAGGUGUCGGUUGGCAUAGCCAAUCGGUGCCGCAGCUAACGCAAUAAGUAUUCCACCUGGGGAGUACGUUCGCAAGAAUGAAACUCAAAGGAAUUGACGGGGACCCGCACAAGCGGUGGAGCAUGUGGUUUAAUUCGACGCAACGCGAAGAACCUUACCAAGUCUUGACAUCCCGGUGACAAAGUAUGUAAUGUACUCUUUCUUCGGAACACCGGUGACAGGUGGUGCAUGGUUGUCGUCAGCUCGUGUCGUGAGAUGUUGGGUUAAGUCCCGCAACGAGCGCAACCCUUAUCUUUAGUAGCCAGCAUUUCGGAUGGGCACUCUAGAGAGACUGCCAGGGAUAACCUGGAGGAAGGUGGGGAUGACGUCAAAUCAUCAUGCCCCUUAUGACUUGGGCUACACACGUGCUACAAUGGCGUAAACAAAGAGAAGCGAAGUCGUGAGGCGGAGCAAACCUCAAAAAUAACGUCUCAGUUCGGAUUGUAGGCUGCAACUCGCCUACAUGAAGCUGGAAUCGCUAGUAAUCGCGAAUCAGAAUGUCGCGGUGAAUACGUUCCCGGGCCUUGUACACACCGCCCGUCACAUCACGAAAGCCUGGCUGUACUAGAAGUAGCUGAGCUAACCCGCAAGGGAGGCAGGUUCCUAAGGUAUGGUCAGUGAUUGGGGUG